CAAGCGGUGGAGCAUGUGGUUUAAUUCGAUGCAACGCGAAGAACCUUACCUGGUCUUGACAUCCACGGAAGUUUUCAGAGAUGAGAAUGUGCCUUCGGGAACCGUGAGACAGGUGCUGCAUGGCUGUCGUCAGCUCGUGUUGUGAAAUGUUGGGUUAAGUCCCGCAACGAGCGCAACCCUUAUCCUUUGUUGCCAGCGGUCCGGCCGGGAACUCAAAGGAGACUGCCAGUGAUAAACUGGAGGAAGGUGGGGAUGACGUCAAGUCAUCAUGGCCCUUACCACCAGGGCUACACACGUGCUACAAUGGCGCAUACAAAGAGAAGCGACCUCGCGAGAGCAAGCGGACCUCAUAAAGUGCGUCGUAGUCCGGAUUGGAGUCUGCAACUCGACUCCAUGAAGUCGGAAUCGCUAGUAAUCGUGGAUCACAAUGCCACGGUGAAUACGUUCCCGGGCCUUGUACACACC
RNAcentral lists this ribosomal RNA (465 nucleotides) under uncultured bacterium. RNAcentral's name for it is "bacterial SSU rRNA". It matches the Rfam family "Bacterial small subunit ribosomal RNA", at positions 926 to 1391 of the family's 1533-position model. The record is from RNAcentral.